UAAUUUGAGAGUUUGAUCCUGGCUCAGGACGAACGCUGGCGGCGUGCCUAACACAUGCAAGUCGAGCGGAGAUAA
RNAcentral lists this non-coding RNA (75 nucleotides) under Ruminiclostridium cellobioparum subsp. termitidis CT1112. RNAcentral describes it as "[Clostridium] termitidis CT1112 Bacterial small subunit ribosomal RNA". It matches the Rfam family "Bacterial small subunit ribosomal RNA", at positions 1 to 75 of the family's 1533-position model. Lineage: Bacteria; Bacillati; Bacillota; Clostridia; Eubacteriales; Oscillospiraceae. The record is from Rfam by way of RNAcentral.